CGAACUUCAGCGCGCUAUUGUAUCUGAAUUACUCUGCGUAUGAACGAGAUUUUUUCACAUUCGGAAAGAUCAUGCUUUUAGCUGUUGAAUGAUAUCUUCUUCAUGCCAAAUGGAUAAAAAAUGAGCAAAUACGAAUCCGAUAAAAAGUGUUAGUCAGAAUCGCAUAUUUUCACCGUUGAGAGUUGGGUCUAAAACCAUUGAAAAUGAACCCCCUUUGGUACUUAAGUUGAUGAAUUUCACUUCAAUAAACGACGCACAUAUUCAUAAUUAU
Molecule: non-coding RNA, 271 nt
Organism: Paramuricea clavata
Lineage: Eukaryota; Metazoa; Cnidaria; Anthozoa; Malacalcyonacea; Plexauridae
Source: the annotation of a GenBank genome assembly